AUAUAUUUAUAUGUGUGUGUAUAUAUAUAUAUAUAUAUAUAUAUAAUUUUUAAAAGGAACGAUCGUGUUGAUAAAGAAACGAAUCGAGAUUGAUUGGACAGCCAUCCAAUUUCGCUUCGGAAACCGAAACACGCGAACAUCCCCUGCGCAAACCAUACCAAACGUGACGAUACUCUGUGAGGUAGCUGACAUUGAGCCGUUUCAGGGCCAAUCGGACCAAAUCUUCCAGUUUUUGGUGGAGAAGCAUCCGAUUUUUUUUUUUUUUUUUUUUUACGAGACAGACGUAUCAACGAAGAAACGAUUUAUAAAAAUGAUUCAAUUUCAACGAUGAAGAAUUUAUAUUGCGAAAAAUUUAUCUUAAAAUUCUCCCCUUCUCAUAUUUCCCGCCCUUUCUCGACGCGUUUCAAUGAGAAUGAGAAGGAUUCGAUGGUCGAAUGUUCCGUUCCCCAGAAUAAGUAAUAAGGAAAUAUAUCGCGACCCUAAACGAAAUGGAGCAAAAAGCUUUGAAAAAACGAGAAUCUUUGGACCCGACUUUCCGAGCAAUGCCCGCCAUCUUGGUCCCGUCUGACCACCGGUGUGGAUAAACGUAUAUAAUCUCGCGAUCUCGCUUCUCCCUCAAUAUUUUGUUUCGGUUUUCCUUUCCUUUGUUUUGUUUUUUUUUUCUUUUUUUUUCUUUUUUUCUUUUUGUUUUGUUGGCGUUUUCAAAUUCCGCUCUCUCUUACUCCGUCAUUUUUUGUCUCCACACACCGUAAUUACAAUAGUAUUUGUUUCUUUCUUUUUUUUUUUUUUUCUUCUUUUAUAUCCGUAAUCUUA
Molecule: long non-coding RNA, 813 nt
Organism: Apis dorsata (giant honeybee)
Lineage: Eukaryota; Metazoa; Arthropoda; Insecta; Hymenoptera; Apidae
Exons: 2
Source: RefSeq, a predicted model, not a curated record